CCUACGGGUGGCAGCAGUGAGGAAUAUUGGUCAAUGGACGCAAGUCUGAACCAGCCAAGUAGCGUGCAGGAUGACGGCCCUCCGGGUUGUAAACUGCUUUUAGUUGGGAAUAAAAGGGGGCUCGUGAGCCCCGUAUUGUAUGUACCAUCAGAAAAAGGACUGGCUAAUUCCGUGCAAGCAGCCGCGGUAAUACGGAAGGUCCGGGCGUUAUCCGGAUUUAUUGGGUUUAAAGGGAGCGUAGGCCGGCUUUUAAGUCAGCUGUGAAAGUCCGCGGCUCAACCGUGGAAUUGCAGUUGAAACUGGAGGCCUUGAGUGCACACAGGGAUGCCGGAAUUCAUGGUGUAGCGGUGAAAUGCUUAGAUAUAAGGAAGAACACCGAUCGCGAAGGCAGGUGUCCGGGGUGCAACUGACGCUGAGGCUCGAAAGUGCGGGUAGCAAACAGGAUUAGAUACCCUAGUAGUC
Molecule: ribosomal RNA, 462 nt
Filed under: uncultured bacterium
Lineage: Bacteria
Description: partial 16S ribosomal RNA
Rfam family: Bacterial small subunit ribosomal RNA
Source: RNAcentral